RNAcentral lists this ribosomal RNA (482 nucleotides) under uncultured bacterium. RNAcentral describes it as "partial 16S ribosomal RNA". It matches the Rfam family "Bacterial small subunit ribosomal RNA", at positions 29 to 507 of the family's 1533-position model. The record is from RNAcentral.
AUUGAACGCUGGCGGCAUGCCUUACACAUGCAAGUCGAACGGUAACGCGGGGCAACCUGGCGACGAGUGGCGAGCGGGUGAGUAAUGCAUCGGAACGUGCCCAGAAGUGGGGGAUAGCCCGGCGAAAGCCGGAUUAAUACCGCAUGAGACCUGAGGGUGAAAGCGGGGGAUCGCAAGACCUCGCGCUUUUGGAGCGGCCGAUGUCAGAUUAGCUAGUUGGUGGGGUAAAGGCCUACCAAGGCGACGAUCUGUAGCUGGUCUGAGAGGACGACCAGCCACACUGGGACUGAGACACGGCCCAGACUCCUACGGGAGGCAGCAGUGGGGAAUUUUGGACAAUGGGCGCAAGCCUGAUCCAGCCAUGCCGCGUGCGGGAAGAAGGCCUUCGGGUUGUAAACCGCUUUUGUCAGGGAAGAAACGCUCUGGGCUAAUACCCUGGGGUAAUGACGGUACCUGAAGAAUAAGCACCGGCUAACUACGUG